RNAcentral lists this ribosomal RNA (911 nucleotides) under Aspergillus foetidus. RNAcentral's name for it is "LSU rRNA". It matches the Rfam family "Eukaryotic large subunit ribosomal RNA", at positions 38 to 963 of the family's 3401-position model. The record is from RNAcentral. Lineage: Eukaryota; Fungi; Ascomycota; Eurotiomycetes; Eurotiales; Aspergillaceae.
GCAUAUCAAUAAGCGGAGGAAAAGAAACCAACCGGGAUUGCCUCAGUAACGGCGAGUGAAGCGGCAAGAGCUCAAAUUUGAAAGCUGGCUCCUUCGGAGUCCGCAUUGUAAUUUGCAGAGGAUGCUUUGGGUGCGGCCCCCGUCUAAGUGCCCUGGAACGGGCCGUCAGAGAGGGUGAGAAUCCCGUCUUGGGCGGGGUGUCCGUGCCCGUGUAAAGCUCCUUCGACGAGUCGAGUUGUUUGGGAAUGCAGCUCUAAAUGGGUGGUAAAUUUCAUCUAAAGCUAAAUACUGGCCGGAGACCGAUAGCGCACAAGUAGAGUGAUCGAAAGAUGAAAAGCACUUUGAAAAGAGAGUUAAACAGCACGUGAAAUUGUUGAAAGGGAAGCGCUUGCGACCAGACUCGCCCGCGGGGUUCAGCCGGCAUUCGUGCCGGUGUACUUCCCCGUGGGCGGGCCAGCGUCGGUUUGGGCGGCCGGUCAAAGGCCCCUGGAAUGUAGUGCCCUCCGGGGCACCUUAUAGCCAGGGGUGCAAUGCGGCCAGCCUGGACCGAGGAACGCGCUUCGGCACGGACGCUGGCAUAAUGGUCGUAAACGACCCGUCUUGAAACACGGACCAAGGAGUCUAACAUCUACGCGAGUGUUCGGGUGUCAAACCCGUGCGCGCAGUGAAAGCGAACGGAGGUGGGAGCCCCCUUGCGGGGCGCACCAUCGACCGAUCCUGAUGUCUUCGGAUGGAUUUGAGUAAGAGCGUAGCUGUGGGGACCCGAAAGAUGGUGAACUAUGCCUGAAUAGGGCGAAGCCAGAGGAAACUCUGGUGGAGGCUCGCAGCGGUUCUGACGUGCAAAUCGAUCGUCAAAUUUGGGUAUAGGGGGCGAAAGACUAAUCGAACCAUCUAGUAGCUGGGUUCUGCGA